RNAcentral lists this ribosomal RNA (253 nucleotides) under uncultured bacterium. Its description in RNAcentral is "partial 16S ribosomal RNA". It matches the Rfam family "Bacterial small subunit ribosomal RNA", at positions 524 to 776 of the family's 1533-position model. The record is from RNAcentral.
UACGUAGGGUGCAAGCGUUAAUCGGAAUUACUGGGCGUAAAGGGCGCGUAGGCGGCCUGUUAAGUCGGACGUGAAAUCCCUCGGCUCAACCGGGGAACUGCGUCCGAUACUGGCGGGCUUGAAUUCGGGAGAGGGAUGUGGGAUUCCAGGUGUAGCGGUGAAAUGCGUAGAUAUCUGGAGGAACACCGGUGGCGAAGGCGGCAUCCUGGACCGACAUUGACGCUGAGGCGCGAAAGCCAGGGGAGCAAACGGG